GGAAUGGGCAGAGGGAGAAGCUGACUUGUGAUUUGGUUGUUAUUGAGGCCUUUCUCACCCCAAAGCCUCCACUCACAGCAUUCCUACCUGCCAUAGAGGCUUUACAUACCUUCACAUCUGCUGGAUUCUGUGGCCAAAGUGGAAGAGCAGCCUGCACAGCAACUGCGCUCGCUCGUGGAGCUGCUUCUCACUCCAGGCGUCCCAAACCUGGCAGCUUUCAGGAUCCUGCAGGGAGCUCUGGAGCAGUGUUGGCCCUUCACUUGUCCUAAAUUGAAGCAAGGAGGUCAGUCACUGGCCCUGGGCUGCCCCUUAGGAGGGAGCAUAACUUCAGAUGGGGUAGCCCCCGCCACUGACCACAGUUCCAGAGAGGGGUGCAGCUGUGAGAAUCAGCAGGCAGUGUGCCCAGCAUCUGGAGGGGGGGCGUCGGCCCUGAAGAGGGAUUGGAGGUGGAGCCCCACAGGAUCCGCUGCAUCCAGCAAGAACAACAGCCUGCAAGAACAACAGCCUGCAAGAACAACAGCCUGCAAGAAGAGGGGGGCCUCAGUCAUACGGUCAUAAGGAAAUGAAUUCUGCCAACCAGCAGUGAGCUUGGAGGAAGACCUUGAGCCUCAGAGGGGAAUGCAGCGCAACUACCCCAUUAAAAUGGAAGACUGUGCAUGGUGAGAACAGAGACAUGCGAAAAAGUCCUGGGAAGCAUCCACAUUUAAGAAACAGCCAGAAAAGAAGAGGCUGGCAAAGUCAAAUAAGGUGAACAGUCCAGGGCGUGGAAAGGAAAAGCGAAAACGGUGAUGUCACGAGAGCCAAGGAAAAGCGUAAAGAAUAGAAGAGUAUCAGUAAGAACCCAACACUGCAGAGAAGGUUGACCUAUCCUGGAGAAGACUUGGGACAAAGCACCACUUAUUUUGCUUGUGGACAUGACAACAGAAAAAAACAUGUGUAAGAGGGGAACUAGGUGUUCUAAACUGUGGUCAAACUAUCUGUAAUAAAGCUUUGCUUGUUUUAUUUAA
Molecule: long non-coding RNA, 1007 nt
Organism: Macaca mulatta (Rhesus monkey)
Lineage: Eukaryota; Metazoa; Chordata; Mammalia; Primates; Cercopithecidae
Source: RefSeq, a predicted model, not a curated record